Molecule: ribosomal RNA, 429 nt
Filed under: Acidobacteriota bacterium
Lineage: Bacteria; Pseudomonadati; Acidobacteriota
Description: Acidobacteria bacterium partial 16S ribosomal RNA
Rfam family: Bacterial small subunit ribosomal RNA
Source: RNAcentral
UGGGGAAUUUUGGACAAUGGGGGAAACCCUGAUCCAGCCAUCCCGCGUGUGCGAUGAAGGCCUUCGGGUUGUAAAGCACUUUUGGCAGGAAAGAAACGUCAUGGGUUAAUACCCCGUGAAACUGACGGUACCUGCAGAAUAAGCACCGGCUAACUACGUGCCAGCAGCCGCGGUAAUACGUAGGGUGCAAGCGUUAAUCGGAAGUACUGGGCGUAAAGCGUACGCAGGCGGUUCGGAAAGAAAGAUGUGAAAUCCCAGAGCUCAACUUUGGAACUGCAUUUUUAACUACCGGGCUAGAGUGUGUCAGAGGGAGGUGGAAGUCCGCGUGUAGCAGUGAAAUGCGUAGAUAAGCGGAGGAACACCGAUGGCGAAGGCAGCCUCCUGGGAUAACACUGACGCUCAUGCACGAAAGCGUGGGGAGCAAACAGG